This 496-nucleotide ribosomal RNA is filed under the name uncultured bacterium. Its description in RNAcentral is "partial 16S ribosomal RNA". It matches the Rfam family "Bacterial small subunit ribosomal RNA", at positions 29 to 507 of the family's 1533-position model. The record is from RNAcentral.
AUGAACGCUGGCGGCGUGCCUAAUACAUGCAAGUCGAGCGAACAGACGAGGAGCUUGCUCCUCUGACGUUAGCGGCGGACGGGUGAGUAACACGUGGAUAACCUACCUAUAAGACUGGGAUAACUUCGGGAAACCGGAGCUAAUACCGGAUAAUAUAUUGAACCGCAUGGUUCAAUAGUGAAAGACGGUUUUGCUGUCACUUAUAGAUGGAUCCGCGCCGCAUUAGCUAGUUGGUAAGGUAACGGCUUACCAAGGCGACGAUGCGUAGCCGACCUGAGAGGGUGAUCGGCCACACUGGAACUGAGACACGGUCCAGACUCCUACGGGAGGCAGCAGUAGGGAAUCUUCCGCAUUGGGCGAAAGCCUGACGGAGCAACGCCGCGUGAGUGAUGAAGGUCUUCGGAUCGUAAAACUCUGUUAUUAGGGAAGAACAAAUGUGUAAGUAACUAUGCACGUCUUGACGGUACCUAAUCAGAAAGCCACGGCUAACUACGUG